AGAUGUGAGCGUGCCCGAAAGGGAACCGUAACACAGGUGCUGCAUGGCUGUCGUCAGCUCGUGUCGUGAGAUGCUGGGUUAAGUCCCGCAACGAGCGCAACCCUUGCCACUAGUUGCUACAUUCAGUUGGGCACUCUAGUGGGACUGCCGGCGACAAACCGGAGGAAGGUGGGGAUGACGUCAAGUCCUCAUGGCCCUUAUGGGUAGGGCUUCACACGUAAUACAAUGGCAGGUACAGAGGGCAGCCAACCCGCGAGGGGGAGCUAAUCCCAGAAAGCCUGUCGUAGUCCGGAUUGUAGUCUGCAACUCGACUGCAUGAAGCCGGAAUCGCUAGUAAUCGCGGAUCAGCAUGUCGCGGUGAAUACGUUCCCGGGUCUUGUACACACCGCCCGUCACACCAUGGGAGUGGGUUUCACCAGAAGUAGUUAGCCUAACCGCAAGGAGGGCGACUACCACGGUGAGAUUCAUGACUGGGGUGAAGUCGUAACAAGGUAACCGUAA
Molecule: ribosomal RNA, 501 nt
Filed under: uncultured beta proteobacterium
Lineage: Bacteria; Pseudomonadati; Pseudomonadota; Betaproteobacteria
Description: bacterial SSU rRNA
Rfam family: Bacterial small subunit ribosomal RNA
Source: RNAcentral